Molecule: long non-coding RNA, 248 nt
Filed under: Brassica rapa (field mustard)
Lineage: Eukaryota; Viridiplantae; Streptophyta; Magnoliopsida; Brassicales; Brassicaceae
Description: long non-coding RNA (BRAP_LNC000684)
Source: RNAcentral
AGGGCCGGGCCUGACAUAUGUAGGCCCAGAAGCAACCAAAAUUUAUUUGGCCCUACAAUAACUCUUUUUAAAAAAAUCGUUGCUAGUUUGUUGUAUAUGCGUUUCGAACUCAGUCCCCUAGGUUAAUUAGCAACCAAAUUUUGCCAUCUGAACUAUCAGACAUUUGAUGUAAUUGGCCCCUAAAUUAGUUUUAACACUAUCGGCCCUCAAGCUAAUGCUUGAUGAGCUUGUGCUCAGGCCCGCCCCUG